This 460-nucleotide ribosomal RNA is filed under the name uncultured bacterium. RNAcentral describes it as "partial 16S ribosomal RNA". It matches the Rfam family "Bacterial small subunit ribosomal RNA", at positions 338 to 795 of the family's 1533-position model. The record is from RNAcentral.
ACUACGGGUGGCAGCAGUGAGGAAUAUUGGUCAAUGGGCGGAAGCCUGAACCAGCCAAGUAGCGUGCAGGAUGACGGCCCUACGGGUUGUAAACUGCUUUUAUACGGGAAUAACGCGCCUUACGUGUAGGGCUUUGCAUGUACCGUAUGAAUAAGGACCGGCUAAUUCCGUGCCAGCAGCCGCGGUAAUACGGAAGGUCCGGGCGUUAUCCGGAUUUAUUGGGUUUAAAGGGUGCGUAGGCCGCAUGUCAAGCUUGCUGUGAAAUGGCCGGGCUCAACCCGGGCCUUGCAGCGCGAACUGGCGUGCUUGAGUCCGCGGAAAGCAGGCGGAAUGCGUGGUGUAGCGGUGAAAUGCUUAGAUAUGACGAAGAACCCCGAUUGCGAAGGCAGCUUGCUGCAGCGGAACUGACGCUGAUGCUCGAAAGCGCGGGUAUCGAACAGGAUUAGAUACCCGUGUAGUC